GUUACAGGAGUCUAUCCAUCACAUAUAUACUUCACUUCAAGGGACACCAUGGCAUAACCGUCGAGGCGAAGUAGGGACCUAAAAGAUUAAAUGGAAUGAUACAUAGACAAGUAAAUCCCUUAUGAAUUCCAAAGUAUUCUUUUAAUUUAAGAGAAUUCAUCAUUCGAAGGGAAGGAGACUACUCAAUAAUUCGACUUCGUCGUAAUUGAAUGAGUCAUUGAGGAGAAGAGAUGAAUCAAUGAAAUAUGGAUUGGCCCUCACCGAGAACUUGAGUAAGGAGUAGUUUUGAAAUUUAUCUAGAGUAAAAU
This 308-nucleotide long non-coding RNA is filed under the name Amborella trichopoda. RNAcentral's name for it is "long non-coding RNA (ATRI_LNC001732)". The record is from RNAcentral. Lineage: Eukaryota; Viridiplantae; Streptophyta; Magnoliopsida; Amborellales; Amborellaceae.